UACGAGGGGGGCGAGCGUUGUUCGGAAUUAUUGGGCGUAAAGGGUGCGUAGGCGGUUCCGCAAGUCCUGUGUGAAAUCUUCGGGCUCAACUCGAAGUCUGCACGGGAAACUGCGGGGCUUGAGUGUGGGAGAGGUGAGUGGAAUUCCCGGUGUAGCGGUGAAAUGCGUAGAGAUCGGGAGGAACACCAGAGGCGAAGGCGGCGACCUGGACAGUGACUGACACUCAACUACGAAAGCGUGGGGAGCAAACAGG
This 253-nucleotide ribosomal RNA is filed under the name uncultured bacterium. Its description in RNAcentral is "partial 16S ribosomal RNA". It matches the Rfam family "Bacterial small subunit ribosomal RNA", at positions 524 to 776 of the family's 1533-position model. The record is from RNAcentral.